ACCGAAUUGUCGACACGAGUUGUUGCUGGCCCUCGAAGGGGGGCACGUGCACACUCUGUUUACACAUCCAUUCACACCUGUGCACCCUCUGUAGCUCUAUGGCCCGGGGGACACCGUCCUCUUGCUGUGGUCCUACGUUUUUACACACACACCGUAACAAAGUCUUAUGGAAUGCAUGUCGCGUUUAACGCAAUACAAUACAACUUUCAGCAACGGAUCUCUUGGCUCUCGCAUCGAUGAAGAACGCAGCGAAAUGCGAUAAGUAAUGUGAAUUGCAGAAUUCAGUGAAUCAUCGAAUCUUUGAACGCACCUUGCGCCCUUUGGCUAUUUUGAAGGGCAUGCCUGUUUGAGUAUCAUGAACACCUCAACUCUCGUGGUUUGCCAUGAUGAGCUUGGACUUUGGGGGUCUUGCUGGCCUAUGGUCGGCUCCUCUUAAAUGAAUCAGCUUGCCAGUGUUUGGUGGCAUCACAGGUGUGAUAACUAUCUACGCUUGUGGUUUUCCACCAGGUAACCUUCAGUGGUGGAGGUUCGCUGGGGCUCACAAAUGUCUCUCCUCAGUGAGGACAGC
This 568-nucleotide ribosomal RNA is filed under the name uncultured fungus. RNAcentral's name for it is "eukaryotic LSU rRNA". The stretch from base 202 to 356 matches the Rfam family "5.8S ribosomal RNA". The record is from RNAcentral. Lineage: Eukaryota; Fungi.